GGGGGGGGGGGGGGGGGGGGGGGGGGGGGGCGGGGGGGGGGGGGGGGGCCGGCGGUGGGGGGGUGGUGGGGUGGCGGGCGGGGGGGUAGGCCGGGGGGGACCUGGCCUUGGCGGUGGGGUAACUUCCGGACACUGGGGCUAGUGCCGGGUAGGGGCUCCUGCUGCAUGGUGGUGGUUGGCAAGUUUCGGUGGUGGGGGAUGGCCUUGAGGCUUAUCAGCUUGUUGGUGGGGUAGUGGCUUACCAAGGCUUUGACGGGUAGCCGGCCUGAGAGGGUGACCGGCCACAUUGGGACUGAGAUCCGGCCCAGACUCCUACGGGAGGCAGCAGUGGGGAAUAUUGCACAAUGGGCGGAAGCCUGAUGCAGCAACGCCGCGUGCGGGAUGACGGCCUUCGGGUUGUAAACCGCUUUCGCCUGUGACGAAGCGUGAGUGACGGUAAUGGGUAAAGAAGCACCGGCUAACUACGUG
RNAcentral lists this ribosomal RNA (468 nucleotides) under uncultured bacterium. RNAcentral's name for it is "partial 16S ribosomal RNA". The stretch from base 48 to 468 matches the Rfam family "Bacterial small subunit ribosomal RNA", at positions 35 to 507 of the family's 1533-position model. The record is from RNAcentral.